This 253-nucleotide ribosomal RNA is filed under the name uncultured bacterium. Its description in RNAcentral is "partial 16S ribosomal RNA". It matches the Rfam family "Bacterial small subunit ribosomal RNA", at positions 524 to 776 of the family's 1533-position model. The record is from RNAcentral.
UACGAAGGGGGCUAGCGUUGUUCGGAAUUACUGGGCGUAAAGCGAACGUAGGCGGUGUUCCAUGUCAGAGGUGAAAGCCUGGGGCUCAACUCCAGAAUUGCCUUUGAAACGGGGACGCUUGAGUCCGAGAGAGGAUGGCGGAAUUCCUAGUGUAGAGGUGAAAUUCGUAGAUAUUAGGAAGAACACCAGUGGCGAAGGCGGCCAUCUGGCCCGGUACUGACGCUCAGGUUCGAAAGCGUGGGGAGCAAACAGG